Molecule: long non-coding RNA, 1014 nt
Filed under: Hordeum vulgare
Lineage: Eukaryota; Viridiplantae; Streptophyta; Magnoliopsida; Poales; Poaceae
Description: long non-coding RNA (HVUL_LNC008464)
Source: RNAcentral
UGAGAAGAAGUCAAGCUGCUAAGUUCAAAUACUCCCUCCGUUUCUAGUUCCUAGUUUCUAAAUAUAAGACUUUGUAGGACAUCUAUAAUUGGAUCCUUCAUACCCGUCUCAAAUUUCGGGGUAAACAGUCUGGUCAGUGAUCGAUCGCAAAACACGAUCCGACUGGACCCCUCAUAUUAAUCUUAAAUGACCGGACUGAUCGGCAUCCCUCAUAUCCAUCUUAAAUAUGUGAACGAUAUGAGGAGUUCACGGACACGUCCGGACAAGCCCGUUCAGUUUGAUACGUAGGACGUGAUCCCUCCCGGACCAUAUUUCUCGUUCUUUAUUCAUUUCUCUCUCUCUUCUUCUCCAUCAAUCACAUGUAAGUAACCAUAUAUAUGGGAAUAAAUAUGACAAGUGCGGUUGCAUGAACGAAAAAGAAGGGUUCAAAACGGACACGUCCGCGGACGUAUAAGGGGUCAUAUUUGCUAAGUAUGACUAUAGAUGUUAUUAAAUAUUUUACUACCGACUACAUACAAAGAAAAAUGAGUAAAUAUACAUUCUAAAAUAUAUUUAUACACAUCAUCCAUAUUAAAAAUUCCAAAAGAUCUUUUAGUUAAAAAUAAAAAGAAUAGUAAUUAAAGAGAGUCCACUAGCUAGGUAAGAGAAUGAAGGCUGCACACCCGCUAGCUGCUAGCUACUCCUAGAAGAUGCAUAAAAACAUUCGCACGUGAGAGCAGACAUGCAUGCAUACGCUGUAUGCCCUUUGUUAUUAAAUAUAAAUACUUUUAAAGAUUUAUAUAUCAAUGUACUAUAUAAAUAUACUUUAAAAUAUACAUUUAUUUAAUUCAUUUCGUGUGUAAUGUGUAGUGAAAUUUCUUAGGAAUCGAGAAAGUACACCGCAGUUCUAUCGUAUAUUAGUUUGCAAAAGUAUUGUGUCAAGCAUUUGUGGAGGGUAGAAACUACUAUUCUCUCCAGUCCAUAUUACUUGUCACGGCUUUAAUAUAAUUUUAUUGUUAUUAAGCAGUAUUAUUG